GGGCGAUUAGCUCAGUUGGUUCAGAGCGCUUGUUUGACAGACAAGAGGUCAGUCCCGAAGGUUCGGGACUAUCGCCCACCU
This 81-nucleotide transfer RNA is filed under the name Bacteroidota bacterium. Its description in RNAcentral is "Bacteroidetes bacterium (marine metagenome) tRNA-Val". It matches the Rfam family "tRNA". From Rfam's summary of the family: Transfer RNA (tRNA) molecules are approximately 80 nucleotides in length. Their secondary structure includes four short double-helical elements and three loops (D, anti-codon, and T loops). Lineage: Bacteria; Pseudomonadati; Bacteroidota. The record is from RNAcentral.